UAAUACGUAGGGACCGAGCGUUGUCCGGAAUCAUUGGGCGUAAAGAGCGUGUAGGCGGCUUGCUAAGUCUUGCGUGAAAUCUCGGGGCUCAACCCCGAGCGGUCGUGGGAAACUGGCAGGCUAGAGUGCGGGAGAGGAGAAUGGAAUUCCUGGUGUAGCGGUGAAAUGCGCAGAUAUCAGGAAGAACACCCGUGGCGAAGGCGGUUCUCUGGAACGCAACUGACGCUGAGACGCGAAAGCGUGGGGAGCAAACAGGA
RNAcentral lists this ribosomal RNA (257 nucleotides) under uncultured prokaryote. RNAcentral's name for it is "partial 16S ribosomal RNA". It matches the Rfam family "Bacterial small subunit ribosomal RNA", at positions 521 to 777 of the family's 1533-position model. The record is from RNAcentral.